CAAGUCGCGCGGUCAGCAAUGGCAGCGGCGGACGGGUGCGUAACGCGUAGGAACGUGUCUUGAGGUGGGGGACAACCCUGGGAAACUGGGGCUAAUACCGCAUAUGGGCUGAGGCCCAAAGCCGUAAGGCGCCUUUGGAGCGGCCUGCGUCCGAUUAGCUAGUUGGUGGGGUAAAGGCCUACCAAGGCUCCGAUCGGUAGCUGGUCUGAGAGGACGAUCAGCCACACUGGGACUGAGACACGGCCCAGACUCCUACGGGAGGCAGCAGUGGGGAAUAUUGGACAAUGGGCGCAAGCCUGAUCCAGCAAUGCCGCGUGGGUGAAGAAGGUCUUCGGAUCGUAAAGCCCUUUCGACAGGGACGAUGAUGACGGUACCUGUAGAAGAAGCCCCGGCUAACUUCGUGCCAGCAGCCGCGGUAAUACGAAGGGGGCUAGCGUUGCUCGGAAUUACUGGGCGUAAAGGGCGCGUAGGCGGCUUAGUCAGUCAGGCGUGAAAUUCCUGGGCUUAACCUGGGGGCUGCGUUUGAGACGGCUAUGCUAGAGGGUAGGAGAGGGUCGUGGAAUUCCCAGUGUAGAGGUGAAAUUCGUAGAUAUUGGGAAGAACACCGGUGGCGAAGGCGGCGACCUGGCCUAUUACUGACGCUGAGGCGCGACAGCGUGGGGAGCAAACAGGAUUAGAUACCCUGUUAGUCCACGCCGUACACGAUGUGCGCUGGAUGUUGGGGCCCAUAGGGUCUCAGUGUCGUAGCUAACGCGGUAAGCGCACCGCCUGGGGAGUACGGCCGCAAGGGUUGAAACUCAAAGGAAUUGACGG
Molecule: ribosomal RNA, 813 nt
Filed under: uncultured bacterium
Lineage: Bacteria
Description: bacterial SSU rRNA
Rfam family: Bacterial small subunit ribosomal RNA
Source: RNAcentral